UGGUCUAAUUCCAAGGGAGAAGGCGAUGGCUUGACUGGUAUAUCGUUGGAGCCGGACAUCCCUCCCUCCCUAGUUCCAAAUGCUCCACCAUCGAGUCCCAUUUUUGAAAAGGGAGGCAUGGUGGGAUACCGAAACAAACUGCUACGCGCUGCAUCUGAAAAUCGCGCUUCUGUCAAGUUGUUAUCGUACAAGUUUGAAUAGCUAGGGUUAAACGUCAUCCCAGCAUGCGACAGUAUUGUGUCCAGGUCAUGGUUCGGUUUCUUUACGUCGUCACCGAGCUCACUACCAACCUUCGAGGUGGGUCGAGAUUGUAAACCUAGUAGCCUCUUGGACACUGAAUGGAUGUUGUCUUUCAAAGAUGGGUUUGCCGCAGGAGCAUGAACUGGAAGAGAUUCACCACCAUACAAGCCCGACUGAUCCGAUUCUAAUUUCCCAAGACGUGAGACCGAAUAGGCAAGAGGUCUCUCGUCGUUGGCCAAGCUUUUCCGUUUCAAGCGCUCGCGAUAAAUGCAGAAUGCAAU
Molecule: long non-coding RNA, 521 nt
Filed under: Physcomitrium patens
Lineage: Eukaryota; Viridiplantae; Streptophyta; Bryopsida; Funariales; Funariaceae
Description: long non-coding RNA (PPAT_LNC013431)
Source: RNAcentral